RNAcentral lists this ribosomal RNA (497 nucleotides) under uncultured bacterium. Its description in RNAcentral is "partial 16S ribosomal RNA". It matches the Rfam family "Bacterial small subunit ribosomal RNA", at positions 28 to 507 of the family's 1533-position model. The record is from RNAcentral.
GAUGAACGCUGGCGGCGUGCCUAAUACAUGCAAGUCGAGCGAACAGAUGAGGAGCUUGCUCCUCUGACGUUAGCGGCGGACGGGUGAGUAACACGUGGAUAACCUACCUAUAAGACUGGGAUAACUUCGGGAAACCGGAGCUAAUACCGGAUAAUAUAUUGAACCGCAUGGUUCAAUAGUGAAAGUCGGUGUUGCUGUCACUUAUAGAUGGAUCCGCGCCGCAUUAGCUAGUUGGUAAGGUAACGGCUUACCAAGGCAACGAUGCGUAGCCGACCUGAGAGGGUGAUCGGCCACACUGGAACUGAGACACGGUCCAGACUCCUACGGGAGGCAGCAGUAGGGAAUCUUACGCAAUGGGCGAAAGCCUGACGGAGCAACGCCGCGUGAGUGAUGAAGGUCUUCGGAUCGUAAAACUCUGUUAUUAGGGAAGAACAAAUGUGUAAGUAACUAUGCACGUCUUGACGGUACCUAAUCAGAAAGCCACGGCUAACUACGUG